GGAGUGUGUAAUUGUUUUUACAUUUAAGGGUUUAUAUUGUCUCCUCAUGCAAUAAAGAAAAACGGUUUUAAUGUCUUGUCCCAGAAGAGCAGGGAAAAUGGGGGAAUUGCUUCCCCAAAGCCCUCGUUGCGGUAUGUGUUCAUCCCGAGAAGCAGGCAGGUAAAGUAUUCAGCAAGAUUUCUCUGUUUGCUUUACAAGGAAUGCUUGGACUGCCUGCUGAAGUGGAGUGCUGCCUCUGGGUGUCUGUCUUUGUAUCUGUGCGUGAAUUCGGCCAACUUUUGUGCAUACAUGUGUGUGUUUGUGUGUGUGUGUGUGUGUGUGUGUGUGUGUGUGUGUGUGUGUGUGUGUUAUAAAAGCUUGUCAGGCAUGUUUGCAACAUCUUAAGUGGUGUGUUUUAAUUGUGUGAUUCUGUAUGUGUGUGUGUUAGUGUGCAUCCAGUAUCCAUGCAUUACUGCGUCUGCAUCUACCACGUCCUCUGAACAGGGGCUGUGUUCUUAAACGCUGAGGUUUUUGGCAUGUGAGUCAAUCUGGGACUGGUCUCCAUCAUGUGACCCUGCAGGCGCAGAUGGCGAGAGGGGCGGCCCUCAGGCACACGUGUCAGAGUCACAUGGGCGCAGGGGUGGAGCCUGGCGACGAGGGGAGUUGGUGAUCAGGUCUGGUUCUCAAUGUUCCCUCUUGUAUUUGUUCUGCUUUUUUUUCCUUUCCUGACAAAGGACUUAGACAAAGAAUGCUAGGACAUAUGGAUGCAAUCAGCUCAAUAUCAAAUGAUGGAGAGUGCAUGUAAAAAUUCUGGCUCCCUUUAAACCAACCAUUCAGCAGGCUUAAUUUAGACAAUACAUAAAACCACAUCUUUGCAUGGGGUUUCUUUGUUGUUGCGUUGUAAGCACUCGUUCUCAACACAGACGUGAACAUAGACUCAGUAUACCUCUCCCUUGAGAUAAGAACAAAAAGAACACACGCUCCAAGCAAGACAAAUGCAAAACAAAUGGAGAAAACCCAGAUGCUCUAGCGCAGGAAAAGCAGAAUAUUUGGGGUGAGGUCUUGUUUAAACAGUGGGCUUGCUGUGGCUUUAUGGCACUUUGACAAGUUUAUUCAUAAUCAUCCCCAUUAACAUGAUGGACUAAUGAGUAGAGAGCUUCCAAGGGGAAGAGGCUAAUUGCUAACACGUUCCAGCACAGUUCUUCACUUCUUAAACCUGCCAAGACACAUCACCGCCAAAGCGACAGCACAAGUGCAGAGAAAACAACAACAUUCAAUUUCCAUUAAAUAUUGGUAGAAAGGUAUCGCCACUAAUGCCAAAAUCCAAAACUCUUCUAAAUAAGUAAACUUCACAUACACUUACACCAACACUCAAACAACAGACACAGAGCCAAUUAUGGGCAUACACUCUCUCACACACUUACACGUAUACACAAGGGGUUAAAACAUGUUUACACAGUUUAAACCAUAAUUCUGUUCCCGUGAAAGAAGAGUAAAAAUGAUGUAUGGCAUUGUUAGACUUGACCUUUGCCUUUUCAAACUCUUCGUCUUCAACUACUGGCAGCUCAGUCUCAGAGGUCGUGGGUUAUUGUUGCCACGGCGAUCAUACCCCCCAAUCAUCUGUACAUGUGAUGCUGGCUCAUGUGAAUCCUUCCCUCACUUUCUCAUCCCAUAAUGGUCAUUUAUGUCAACGGAGGGACAUUAAAAUGCUGCUGAAACAUGAACCCAAUUAGCCAUCACUCUUCUUAAGCAUGUUGAAAGGAAUGAGGUCGUGACAUUGUGAACCCAACAACAACAGCAAAAAACAUUAGGAGUUAAAUUAAGAGCAAAAAUAAUAACUAAACAAACAAAAAAACGGCAGGCGCCCAUCUUGACAGAGACUAUGAGUCAUCAAAAAAGCAGAGCAUGCUGAAUACAGGCAGCAUUCUUUGCUGACAAGGUUGUACCUUCUCAUUGGAAUUUAAAGAUGAGUCUGGGAUUCAGUUUUGCUAAAGGUUGUUGAUGUUUGUGUUCAACAGCCAAUCAAAUUACACCCCUCCCUUCUGUGCUCUUGAAUCACCGUGGCCGAUUGGCUGGGAUUGUUUAUGGUUCAGUCUGUGCAACUAUGUUUGUUUCCCAUUUACAGAGCUAGGACUGUGGACGAAUACCGUCAUAUUUGAGCACCAACACUGAAAGGACAGCUAGAGGACGGUGAGGAGCAAUAAACUGAAUUUGACAUAAAAGUAUAUGGGAUAAGAGUCACGGACUGUAACUUUAAGGGAGAUAGAGCAAUAAUCAAAGAAUCCAUUUCUUACAGAUUGUGAUGGUAUUACACAGUCGCAAUGAAAACAUACAAGGCAUGUUUUAAUGCAAUAAAUUUCGGCAAUCGAUUGAGUCUACAAAGCAACAAGACACAGAGAAAAUAUUGACAGAGGAGAGAACUAAGGAGGGCUACACCACAAAUCCGCAGAGCGUAAAUAAACCUGAGCGUACUAAACAGAGUCCCCUGGAAGUUAAUGGCAGCUUUGUGUGGCCGAGCAGUUUUAUGAUCUUAAUUCUCUCGCAUACUUUGCCAACAUAAAUAUGGCGCUUCUCGGCGGGUAGCUCCGCCGAGUGCAGUUGUGGGGCUGGGCUGGAACUGCAACAAGUUCAAAUACACAACUUUUACUGCGCCUCAGGAGGGGUUUUCUCAGCGUUGCUUUUGCUCUCUACCCUUCGGUUUGGGGAGCGGUCAACAAGAUAGUCUUCGCGUCAGCCCAGGCUGAUUUAUGACUAGGGACAAGCCCAGCACAGAAAAAGAGGAAAUUCUUAAAAGAGAAAAAGACGUCUCCCUACGAACCACUUCCCACCGCUUAAGCUCUACAGGCCUCUGAGGUAAGGAGUGUAGGGCCUCCAUUAAACAUUUCACAGCGCUGGUGGUGUAAUUCACACCAGCAAAGCAGAUGUGUCAACAGCACAGCAUUGUUCCAGCGGUCAGAUAUGCAGAUAUUCGCUCCAACAGGUCUCAGCAGUGGACACCCUAGCCUGAGCCGUUAUACAAUCAUUACUUUUAAUACGCAGCCUACCCUAUGUAGCGGCCGACAUCUGUGCACGUGGUGGAGCAAGACUGGUGUGGCGCCUGUGUUUGGACAUGAGCUAAAGUACAUGGGCUACAGUAUUAAUAACAAUACACAAAUACAUUGGUUAGUGACAGUAUUGUUAGUUAUAUGGUGUAACACAGACCAUGGAAAAUAACAAAUGGGCCAUGAAGAUGAACACUACAGAGAACUGGGAGAUGCGGCCCUUUAGAAUGAUACAGCAGUAUUAGAACAGCCUUUAGAACAAUAAAGCAGCAUAAGAACAGCCUUUAGAACAAUACAGCAGUAUUAGAACAGCCUUUAGAAUGAUACAGCAGUAUUAGAACAGCCUUUAGAACAACACAGCAGUAUUAGAACAGCCUUUAGAACAAUAAAGCAGCAUAAGAACAGCCUUAAGAAUGAUACAGCAGUAUUAGAACAGCCUUUAGAACAACACAGCAGUAUUAGAACAGCCUUUAGAACAAUAAAGCAGCAUAAGAACAGCCUUUAGAAUGAUACAGCAGUAUUAGAACAGCCUUUAGAAUGAUACAGCAGUAUUAGAACAGCCUUUAAAACAACACAGCAGUAUUUGAACAGCCUUUAGAACAAUACAGCAGCAUUAGAACAGCCUUUAGAAUGAUACAGCAGCAUAAGAACAGCCUUUAGAACAAUAAAGCAGCAUAAGAACAGCCUUAAGAAUGAUACAGCAUCAUAAGAACAGCCUUAAGAAUGAUACAGCAGCAUAAGGAACAAUACAGCAGCAUAAGAACAGCCUUUAGAACAAUACAGCAGUAUUAGAACAGCCUUUAGAUGUGAACGAAUAGGUGCUACUAAUUAACAAUGACACAGUGAAUCAUUUCAUACUCUUUUGAAUAGUGAAAAGUAUUUUCUUUCUAAAUAAUAUUAUCUUAACACUACUGCAUUCAGACCUUUUGGCACUUCUGUUAGUAUAGUCAGCGAGUGUUCGAACUGCAGUACACUAACCCAGGGCAGACACUCAGUCAAUUACAGCGCCUCCGUUCCUCAGUCAGGCUUGAUGAAUCAGACUCAACAAAAAAACGUCAUUGCAGAAUCUUCAGUCUCUGCAGCAAUGUUUAUCUUCUUCAGUGCAUGGGGGUAAUGGCUUUGGCAGGAUGGAUAUGGAUGGGUGUGCAGGAGGCCUCAGGUGAAGAGCUGGCCCCAACCCUCUCAAAACAAAGCAGGAAGAAACGCCUCUCUGCCCCCCCACCCCCUCCAUAAACAACGUGAAGAACCGGAGUCAACUUCUGAUAAUGGAAGCACAGUUGUGGAAAGUUUGUGGGGUGAGGGGACCACACUAGCUUACAAGCGAGCGCGAGAGUCAGCCGGUCGGCAUGCAGUGGAGGGGACUGCCAGUGGCCUGGCCUUAUGGAGACGAACGUGUGCAACAUGAAAGAGGGCACACCAACCGGGAGCUUUGAAGUGUCAUCUGUGAAUUUAUUGACCAAGAGGAGAAGAAGAGAGCUGGAGAGAACACAAAGACAAAGAGAG
Long non-coding RNA from Clupea harengus (Atlantic herring), 4523 nucleotides. The record is from Ensembl. NCBI's taxonomy places the organism in Eukaryota, Metazoa, Chordata, Actinopteri, Clupeiformes, Clupeidae.